GGACCGCGACGGGAUGACCAUUGCGUGAGGAUCUGCCCUUAGGUGGGGGAUAACAGUUGGAAUCGGCUGCUAUACCGCUAUAGAGAGAGCUAACAGAUUUAUUGCCUAGGGAUGAACUCGCGUCUGGUUAGCUAGUUGGUGGAUUAAUGUUUUACCAAGGCGACGAUCAGUAGCUGGUCUGAGAGGAUGAUCAGCCCCACUGGGACUGACUCACGGCCUAGACUCCUACCGGAGGCAGCAGUGGGGAAUUAUCCGCAAUGGGCGCAAGCCUGACGGAGCAACGCCCCGUGGGGGAGGAAUGUCUGUGGAUUGUAAACCCCUUUUCUCACGGAACAUGUUCUGACGGUACCUGAUGCAUCUUUAUCCGCUAACUCCUUGCCCGCAACCGCGCUAAGACGGAGGAUGCUAGUGUUAUCCCGAAUUAUUGGGCGUAGAGCGUCGGUUGGCGGUUUAUCACGUCUGCUGUCAAAGACUACGGCUUAACUGUGGGCCGCGGUGGAAACUGAGGAACUGGAGUGCGGUAGGGGUAGACGGAAUUCCCACUGUAGCGGUGAAAGGCCCAGAAAUUGGGAAGACCACCGGUGUCGAAAGGCGCUCUGCUGGGCUCAACUGAUGCUAAGGGACUAAAGCCUAAUGUGAGCUAAAAGGGAUUAGGAUACCCCUGAGGUCCAACCUGUAAAACCAUGGAACCCGAGGGGGUUGGGCGGUUCCAACCCCUUCUUGUUCCUGGAAGCCCACCAUGAACAAUUAUGCCCGCCCUGGGGGGAGAAUCAAAUGCAAGU
This 782-nucleotide ribosomal RNA is filed under the name uncultured cyanobacterium. RNAcentral describes it as "bacterial SSU rRNA". It matches the Rfam family "Bacterial small subunit ribosomal RNA", at positions 93 to 873 of the family's 1533-position model. The record is from RNAcentral. Lineage: Bacteria; Bacillati; Cyanobacteriota.